AGGGCUGCACCCACAGCAUGUGGAAAUUCCCAGGCUAGGGGUUGAAUCGGAGCUGUAGCCACCAGCCUACACCACAGACACAGCAACUUGGGAUCCGAGCCAUGUCUGUGACCUAUACCUCAGCUCACAGCAACACCAGAUCCUUAACCCAAUGAGCGAAGCCAGGGAUCAAACCCGCAUCCUCAUGGAUACUAGUUGGAUUUGUUUCUGCUGAGCCAUAAUGGGAACUCCCUGUCCAGAACUAUUAUAAGUUUAUGUUUUAAUGUAUCAGUCCACUACAUAUUUUAUUAUUUGCGGCCAGGGAUAAGGAUAUGAUGUGUUCCCAAAAAAGUUUUAAAAUCACAAUUAUAAAUCUAAUUUAGAAGAGACCUAAAAGGCCAACUAAUUUAAUUACCCAUCUGAUCUAAUUGGAUCCAGCCAUGGAGCACUCACUACCUAAAGAGGCAGAACAUUUCAUGUUUGGGUUUCAAGAUUGUUUAAAAAGUCUCGCGAGCCUCUGAAACUUCAAAAUAUCAGUCCUCAUUUUACCUCUGAUGAAACAGUGCAAACAAUAAUCAUGUUUUCCCUUGGUCUUCUCUGUCUAGGCUAGGCAUCACCAGUUCCAUCAGAUAUUCACCAUGAGAUAGGGUUUAAUUCCUUUCAAAUUCUUCUUGCAUUUCUGGAAUCAAUUCCAGUUUGUCUGAAUCUCUUCCCAGGAGAUUCUGUAUCAAGAGGUGUAUCAUGCUACACCUGUGGCAUGUGGAAGUUCCCAGGCUAGGGAUCUAAUCAGAGCUGCAGCUGCUGGCCUAUGCUGUAGCCACAGCAAUGCAGGAUCUGAGUCAUGUCUGUGACCUACACCAGAGCUCACAGAAACUCUGGAUCCUUUACCUACUGAGCAGGGCCAGGGAUCAAACACAUGUCCUCACAGAUACUAGUCGGGUUCGUUACUGCUGAGGCACAAUAGGCACUCCCCAUUUUGCUCUUUUAUCAGUUACAAAUACAUGACCAAUUCAUAUUGAUGUUAUUGUUAUACAAAUCUAUAAAAAUAAUAUUUACUUCUUUCCCAAGCUGUUCUUUUACAGCUGUUUCUAAUUUUUCUUUUAAAUUAAAGAUCAGGCACUUUCAUUUCUAUUAAACUUAAUUUUGUUGGCUGUAGCCAUUGUCCCAAGAUAUUAGUAUCUUUUUAGAAUCGGAUUCUACUGUACAAUAUAUUUUCUAUUUCUUACAGCAUAUACUAUUUGAAAAUUUGAUAAUCAUGUACCUGAUAUUUUCAUCCAAGUAAACUGACAAAAGCUGUGAGCAGGACAGAGCCACAAAAACAGCCCUGACACUCUAUAGAAAGCUUUUUCCAAAUUAAUGGAGAUAUUUUAAUUCUACAUACUUAAGACUCAAUCAGCCAAACUCUGUUUCUCCAUUUUACCUGUAAAUUAUCACAGAAACUAACAAAUGCCUUGGUGGGGCUAUUUGAUAUUUCUGUGUUUUAUUUACUCCAGAAAUUUAAUGGAAAUUUAAAAUGCAUCGCUUCUCAGGAACAAGGUAAGUAUUUGUGAGAUAAGGUCAAUUGAUGUUUUAAGUUCCUUGGAGGAAAAACAGCUAUUAUUUAUGAUCAUUAAGAAUUACAAAAUAACAUACUUUGGAGAGUCCUAAUCCUUCUGUAAACCAUUAUCAUCUACUGGGAUAAAUAAGUAAAUAGGACAGGGAGUCUAAGCUACUACAACUCUGAAAUGCACACUGGGACCAACAGAUUUUGAACUGGAGGAGUGUGUGUGUGUGUGUGUGUGUGCGUGUGUGUGUGUGUGUGUGCGUGCGUGCGUGCGUGUGUGUGUGUAGAACAAGGAUAUUCCAUUUUCUUGAAAGAAAAAGAAAGAAAGAAAGAAAGAAAGAAAGAAAGAAAGAAAGAAAGAAAGAAGCUCAAGUGAAUCGUCUAGUUAUAAAGAAUGGAAAGCAGGCCUUAUAGCAGAGAGCCCUACAGACCCUUUAACUACUGGAGUGUGCUCUAGAUUUGAAGGUCGAAGUUAUUAUGUAUUUUUCCUGGUCCACUUAACUGCAUCAUCUAAACUUGAUAAAAAUGACCUGACAAUGGAAGUCAUUUUCUUGAAAAUAUUAGGAAAUGCUGGAAAGCAACUGAGAAUAGUAGGAAGGCAAGUACUUAAUGGGCUGGACUAUCAAAGACCAUUCGUUUGUUGGGGGUGGGGGUAGAGCUCUGCUGUACAGAAUCUGAAUCAAUUACAAACAAACUCCCGCCUUCCAGGUCCAGAAGCCCAGAAACCCCUUCACACCAGACUAAGGAUGCCAGGGAAAAUCAAUAAGCUAUUGAAUUGGGUUCUCUGGGGGAGAACACAGUGUAUUUUGUAAUUUCAAAACAGCUCUUUUAUUAGAGAGCUGAAGAGGGUAUAGCAGAUAUUACAUUUCUAUGAAAUAUAAGCCAGGCAACAUUCAGAUCUGUUUUAAAAUUAAUAGAGCUUCAAUCUUUUUUAUUUUGCCAAUAGAUUGAGUUGUGAUGCCUGCUAACUCUGUCUUCAUUCUGAUUUAGUAAGCAUUUAUUAAGAACAGUUUUUAUAUAUUUCUUUAACUGCGUCACCAAAGCCUCUCUCUGUCCCCUGGACAUUAAAUUAAAUAUAAAAUGGAUUGCACCAAAGCUAAAUAAAUAGAUCCUUAAUUUUCCCAAGCAACACACACAUGUGUAAAAUAAAAUAAAUGUUACGGUGUUGGGCGUUGGGAGUAGAGAAAAGAUGGUUCGUGUGUAGGUUUAGUUAUCAAAAUCCACAGCAUAUAGGCUGACAGCUUUUGAAAUACAUAAACUGUUUCUCUCUCUCCUGUUUCCAUAGCAACAGAGUGCACAAAGCCUUCAUUUUUGCACAUAGAAAAAAUUGGGAAUGGAGUCUGGAAUUGUCUGGAACAAAAGAAAUAUGUAGAAAAUAGAAAAUUAAGCAUCUAUCAUCCACAAGAGCCUCAUACUUGUUCAUGUCCCCUCGACACUGUUAUUCAAAAUAUGUAUUUGAAUGUAUGCUGGGGUAUCUUUGAAGAGUUGGGUCAGGAUCUAAAAGGUUAGAGCAUCCUACCUCCCCUCUGCAAGCCAGAAGAGUCAGUGCAAGUAACUCAUUGUGGUCUGUGUCUUGAGAAGUUUCAUUAUGACUUCCUUUAAGGCAUUCUCACCAGAGCUUUGUUGAUUGGCUUUUGCCUCUUUACCAUACUUCAGAUUAAGAUUAAAAUCUCUCCAUUUUCAGAGUUCCUGCUGUGGAACAGAGGGUUAAAGAUUCAGCAUUGUCUCAGUGGCUUGGGUCACUGCUGAGGUAUGGGUUCUUUUCCCAGCCUGGGAACUUGCACACACUGCAGAUGCAGCCAAAAAUAAAUAAAAUAAAAUUCUCUCAGUUUUUUUUUUUUUAAUUUACCCUUUCAGUUCAUUCACUUUAAAGGGCCAAUGGCAAUGCCUUAAAUUCAACAAAUAAUGGGAGAUGUGACAUAUCAUUUAAGGAAGAGUGUCGCAAAGCAAGGCAUGGAGACCAGCAAAGCAGCCAAAACCCAAGGGCUCCCUCAAUGGGAACUCCCCUGAUAGGUAAGGGUUAAAAGGGCUGCAUCAACCCUGAAUAAGUACAUCUCAUGGCCCUAUAAUCUACAUAUAUCUGCCUGACGGCUCCCUCUUAUUGGUUCAUAGCCAUUUUUCUGAGUUUGCCUUAGAUUUUUCACUUCCCAUAGGGUGCUAAUCUUGACUAAAUGUAUAUAUGAAAAAAGAUUAACAAUUAGCCAGUAUGGUAAAUAUUUUGGCAAACCCUCCUUUCAGGUUCAAGAAAAAAAGUUGAAUGGGAAAUAUCAGUUUUCUUUAAAAUAAACCAGUACAAUUUUUUUAACUUAAAAAUGAAGGAAAUAAAACUUAAAGAAUCUAAGAAGCCCAGUUGAGAUUAAGUGGAAAUGAACAUUGCCCAAUUCCUAAUAUCUC
RNAcentral lists this long non-coding RNA (3916 nucleotides) under Sus scrofa (pig). RNAcentral describes it as "lncRNA (ENSSSCG00000059710.1)". Lineage: Eukaryota; Metazoa; Chordata; Mammalia; Artiodactyla; Suidae. The record is from RNAcentral.